Molecule: unclassified non-coding RNA, 305 nt
Filed under: plant metagenome
Description: partial contains 5.8S ribosomal RNA, internal transcribed spacer 2, and large subunit ribosomal RNA
Rfam family: 5.8S ribosomal RNA (bases 1-105)
Source: RNAcentral
GAAAUGCGAUAAGUAGUGUGAAUUGCAGAAUUCAGUGAAUCAUCGAAUCUUUGAACGCACAUUGCGCCCUUUGGUAUUCCUUAGGGCAUGCCUAUUCGAGCGUCAUCUAAACCUUCAAGCCCUGCUUGGUGUUGGGUGCCUGUCCCGCCUCCGCGCGCGGACUCACCUCAAAUCCAUUGGCGGCCCCCGCGUCGGCCACGAGCGCAGCAGAAACGCGAACUCGUGAGCCCGUCCGGGCGGCUCCCAGAAGCUACACCCACCCAGUUUGACCUCGGAUCAGGUAGGGAUACCCGCUGAACUUAAGC